GAGGAUAGAGCUCAAGUGGUAGAGCGCAUGCUUAGCAUGCAUGAGGUCCUGGGUUCAAUCCCUAGCACUUCCU
This is a non-coding RNA of Camelus ferus (Wild Bactrian camel), 73 nucleotides long. The record is from Rfam. NCBI's taxonomy places the organism in Eukaryota, Metazoa, Chordata, Mammalia, Artiodactyla, Camelidae.